AGCGAACGCUGGCGGCAGGCUUAACACAUGCAAGUCGAACGCAUCCUUCGGGGUGAGUGGCAGACGGGUGAGUAACGCGUGGGAACGUGCCCUUCAGUUCGGGAUAACCCAGGGAAACUUGGGCUAAUACCGGAUACGUGCGAGAGCAGAAAGAUUUAUCGCUGAAGGAUCGGCCCGCGUCUGAUUAGCUAGUUGGUGGGGUAAUGGCCCACCAAGGCGACGAUCAGUAGCUGGUCUGAGAGGAUGAUCAGCCACAUUGGGACUGAGACACGGCCCAAACUCCUACGGGAGGCAGCAGUGGGGAAUAUUGGACAAUGGGCGCAAGCCUGAUCCAGCCAUGCCGCGUGAGUGAUGAAGGCCUUAGGGUUGUAAAGCUCUUUCGUCCGGGACGAUAAUGACGGUACCGGAAGAAGAAGCCCCGGCUAACUUCGUGCCAGCAGCCGCGGUAA
RNAcentral lists this ribosomal RNA (449 nucleotides) under uncultured bacterium. Its description in RNAcentral is "partial 16S ribosomal RNA". It matches the Rfam family "Bacterial small subunit ribosomal RNA", at positions 29 to 523 of the family's 1533-position model. The record is from RNAcentral.